RNAcentral lists this long non-coding RNA (266 nucleotides) under Heterocephalus glaber (naked mole-rat). RNAcentral's name for it is "lncRNA (ENSHGLG00100033452.1)". The record is from RNAcentral. Lineage: Eukaryota; Metazoa; Chordata; Mammalia; Rodentia; Bathyergidae.
CGAACACUCAACAGGUAUUAACUGGAGGAAUAACUCAACAAUGGAAGAUGUGUCUUAAAGAAGAAAUAAGAAAGGGCUCCAUGUGCCAGGCACUGUGCUGAAGCUUGAGGAUCAGUAGUGAGAAAAACAGAAAGAAAUCCCUGUUCUCCUGGUGGAAAUGAAAAGCACUAAACAAAGGCGAGUAGGUUACAUGUGUGGUGUGUUUGGUAAUGCUAGUGCCAAGGAGAAAGAGCAGGGAGAGGGAUAAUAUACUUGGAGAAUCUUUG